GCCCCGCAGGCCUGGACGCCCGGCCCGCCAGAUGCAGGCAUGCACGCGUCGCUGGCAAGGCCCGGCGGAGGCAGCUAGGCCUGCCGCACCCCGAGUCUGGGAACCAGUGAGUGGGAGCAGGGGGUCUGGCUCGCCAAAGCGAAGUGCUUUAUCGCGUGGUCAACUGCCAACAGGCCAGAGACAGGAGGCGUUGGCUUCCACCCCUGCAGAACUGUUUUCGGGCGGUCUUUGAGGACAUUCAGAAAGCUGCACCAUUUCAUAUCUGGAGCAGGUCAGUGCCUGAUGGCGGAAGUUUGUGCUAUGACCUGUGCCUGGGGAUUAUGAGGAAGCAAAAUAAAAAUACAGAUCCUUCCCCUCCCAUGCAAGUAGGCUUUCACGCCUCAAGGGGAUGCUCCGACGACAGUGUUUGUUUCUUGUAAAUUAUACAUGUACACACAUGUUGAGUUUAUCAUAAAUACAAUGGGAUUCCUUGCCCCUUAUCUCAUCAGUAUUAAAGCCCCACAAGGCCCUAAGCUAAAUGUUACUCAGGACUUGUAGCCAAACACAGAAUUUAAAUCAACCACUUGAAAGUUGAACUGGCUCAGGAUUACUAAUUUCCUUUUGCCAAAAAUGAACUCAUUCCUAAUAGUCAUAAACCUACUUCCUGAUAUUGUGGUUUGAAGAUCCACAGAGAUCUUGUACAGCACUUAGCAUAGCCGUGGCGCUUACUUAUUUUAUUACUGGUCUA
Non-coding RNA from Myodes glareolus (Bank vole), 727 nucleotides. The record is from RefSeq and is a predicted model, not a curated record. NCBI's taxonomy places the organism in Eukaryota, Metazoa, Chordata, Mammalia, Rodentia, Cricetidae.